RNA transcript from Panthera uncia (snow leopard), 13149 nucleotides. It is a transcript of the gene named zinc finger protein 333, with no coding region annotated. The record is from RefSeq and is a predicted model, not a curated record. NCBI's taxonomy places the organism in Eukaryota, Metazoa, Chordata, Mammalia, Carnivora, Felidae. The transcript has 10 exons.
CAGUGAAGAGCGCUGGACGUGGGGCUCGAUCUCGCCCCGAGAUCAUGACCUGAGCCGAAGUCAAGGGUUGGAUGUUUAACCGACUGAGCCACCGAGGUGCCCCCAAUCCUUUUAUUAAUUUUUUUUAAUGUUUAUUCAUUUUUGAAAGAGAGAGACAGAGCACAAGCAGGGGUGGGGCGGAGAGAGAGGGGGAGACAGAAUCCGAAGCAGGCUCCAGGCUCAGAGCUGUCAACACAGAGCCCGAUGCGGGGCUCAGACUCACGAACUGCGAGAUCACAAUCCGAGCCAAAGUCGGAUGCUCAACCCACUGAGCCACCCAGGCACCCCUUUAAUCCUUUUAUUAGAUGAGAGGAACCACCAGAAAUGAUCAGGGGCUGUGGUCUGGAAGUUGGGUCUGGGCCCAGUAUGUUGCUUAUUGGGGAAGAUUCCGUGUAAGGGUUUUGCUGGGCCUCCCUGCUGGAGACCCUCGGAAGUGGGAGCACCUGGGCCAAACCCCUGUUCACUGCCCUGCUUCCACCCUGACCCCUUUCUCUUACCUUGGUUUCUUUUAUUGCAGGGAGGACACCUAAUGAGACCUUAAAUCCUGGCACUGGUGUCAUGGUGAGGGGGCUGGGAGAGUUGGAAUUGUUGAGGGGGGGAUAAUUCUGUCCUCUGGGCCCUGUCCCCUCUCUCCCCACCCCAAAAUGAGGAAGAAACGGGAGGGGUAGUGUGGAGCACCUUCUGCCUUGCCCCCGGGGACCUGGUGGCCUCUUUCAGUGCCUGGCCUCUGGAGGGAUCUGGCUCGGGAGGAGGGUCCCCACAGUGACCCCGGGGGCUCUGAGCUGGACUCCAGAGUCGGACUGCAGAAUGAGGUUCAUUUAAAUUUUUAAAAAAUGUUUAUUCUUUUUUUUUUGAGAGACAGAGCAUGAGCAGGGGAGGGGCAGAGAGAGAGGGAGACACGGAAUCCAAAGCAGGCUCCAGGCUCUGAGCCGUCAGCACGGAGCCCGAUGCGGGGCUCGAACUCACAAACCGCGAGAUCACGACCUGAGCCGAAGCCAGAUGCCUAACCGACUGAGCCACCCAGGCGCCCCUGAAUGAGGCUCAUUUAGAGUCGGUAGCAGCAGAGCUCCACCGGGGCCAUCCCUUGUGAGGCCUCCCCAAACCACGCGUGUCUGUAUACAUUCAAAUUAAUUGAAACUCAGUAAAUCAAAGGUCAGUUUCUCAGGGGCCUGAGUCACAUUUCUCAAGUGCUCAGUAGCUACGCAUGCUGGGGGCUGCUCUUUUGGAAAGCACAGACAGAGAACAUUCCCACCAUCGCAGAGAGCUCGACCAGACCAUGCUGAGCUAGAGGAUUCUGAAAUUAAAAGGCCGUUAGGUUUCUCAGGUGCAAUGCAAGUCUUGUUUUAGCAACUCGUAAAAGGAUUACAAAGUGCUUAUGUGAGUCUUGGGAGGGGCUCUAGGGAUUUCACGAAAAUUAUGUGAUGGGUCCCAAACUUUUGAUGCCUUAAAUAAGAAAUGUAGGAAGAACUCUCCCUAGAGCCCAGAGAUCGUCUCUGCAGCCACUGGCGGCUGAAGUGGCGAAGAGAGCCAAAGCCUGCACUCUGGCAUUUCUCCAAACGUUAGAAGCGAGGAAAUGUCUGCUAGGGUGGCCAUGUGAUCCCUGUCCCGGUCACAGCAACGACUCACUGUUGUGGGUACGGCACAAAAUGAGCCGUGGAGAUGGCCAAACAGAUGGGGCAUGGUGGCGUGCCAGUGAAACUUGAAAAGACAGGAGGCGGGUCGGGUUUGUGGAGGCCUGCUGUGGAGACAGUGUCCCGAACGUUCUCCCUUCCCCGGUGAUAACCAGUUGUCCUGGAGGUGGGUUUUGCUGAGCCAGGAUACGUGUGUUGUUGUAGGAGUCAGUCACCUUUGAGGAUGUGGCGGUGGGGCUCCUCCGGGAGUGGGCAUUACUGGACGGUGCGCGGACGAACCUGUGCCGAUACGUGAUACUGGACAAGUGCAGGACUCUGGUCCCCAAGGACUGGGACUCUCGACUCAAAUCCCAAGCGUCUCCUCCCGUGCAGGAUAUUUUGGAGGGAAAUUCAUCCCCGGGUUUGCACAUGGUAAGAUUCACGGGGGCUCGUCCUUGUUCCCCCUCUCGGGAGAAGGUGAGGAGUAUGUGGAUUGCAGGGCCAGGGGGCCGUGGGGGGGCACUUCCUCAAGGACAUUCCCGCGUGGUGUGAAACGGGUGCCCAUGGCUCGUGAAUUUGGACAAGCCCUGCCUGACCCUCGAGACCCUUUCUUCCCGGAAGGUUCCCCUGAGUCAACACAUCUGUUAGCGGGAGUCAGACAUCGGUCGUGUGCAGUGCGCUUUGCUCCUCAACAGUCACGGGAAACUCCUGCCUGCUGGAGAAGCCCCAAGGAAGUCGGGAACGGGAGAGAGCCCGCACUGCCCUGGAGCCUGCAGCCGCCUGAGCGAGGCGCACGUCUGAGCACGCUGCAAAUGUGCCUCGGCGGGGAGGGGAGCAGCCCUGGGCGCUUCAAGGGUGUCAGCAAGGUUGCCCUCAUCGCUCACCCGCUGCCAGGAGCAGACUCUGCCCGGAGAGCGGAUUCGGCCACAGCCCGAGCACCUUCAGGAGGAACUCUAACCUGGACCUGACUGAGACAGCCCGGGGGGACAGCCACCCUGACUUAUGCAAAGGAUGUGAGAGCGCUCUCGUGGAUCGCUCCCCACUUAGGGGACACGUCGAGAUCCCACGCUGGAAAUCAGCCCUUGUCAAAGCGUGGAAAAGCCUUCAGAGCCGGCUGGCGCGCCCCAGUGCACCAGGGAACACGCAUCGGGCCCCCUGACCCCCCCCACUUUGGCCCUGACUUCCUGCCUCCCCGAACUACAGGAAUUUCCAAGGUGGAGAAUGUCCUCCAGUAGCUGCUUGGGAAAGGGCGUGUUGCUUUUGAGGCCCUGAAAAUAUGUGAAAAUAUCUUACUGGAGCUGCCAGCUUGCAGGGGCCUCAUCUGGCAGGAUCGUUGUGGUAACCCCAUGCAGAACAUUCUGUGCAUCGUUGCAGAGCCCUGGACUAAUGCUUGUGCAGUGAAGGAAUGAACACGGGUACCCCAGGCUUUCACUGCCCCCCCGCCCCGCCGAGCAGAUGGACCCUGUGAGGGAGGGAGCGAGGAUGGCCCACAUCUGUCCUCUCCAGUUUCUGUGGGCUCUUUCCUCUUAGUACGGGGUUCCAGCACCUUCCGCAGAGCUCCACCUUCAGCUCAGAAGCGAGCACCGAGUGUGGGAGAGGAGAGGCUUCUGCUGCAUCGAGCCCCAGGAAGCAGGCGGUCGCAGAACGUUCUGAGCGGGGAGAGGAGGGCCACUCGGACACGCACGUGCAGAAGUUGAGUGGUUCGUCAUGAAGACACGUAGCCCGUAAGUGGUACGGCCACGUUUGGAGCUGGGAGUCCAAUCCAGGCCUGCCGCAGAGGUGCAGAGGUAGCCACCGGGACCUGCUGCCCGGGGUCACACAUCCUGCCACGCGGCUGAAGGCGCUGACUGUUGGGCUCGUCCUUCCGGGCUUCAGUGGGCCUUGUCCCGACGACUGAGGCCCCCAUGGCGGCCCUGAGGCCUCCCCGUCAUGGCUAGAUAGGCCAGGGGAGGGCACGAGAGAGCUGGGGACUGCUCGCAGAAGAGUCCCGAGAGGAGGCUGCGGAAGGGGUGUCUCCGGGCUCAGUCCUUCUACCGUCCCAGCCGCCCUCCCCCGUGCUGUGUCUCCUCCAUGCUGUUUCAGGGCAUGGGGAUGUUAGCUUGUGCGAGUGCUGGAGAAGGGCAGCGUUCAGAGGACGGGCUCUGGAUGGCAGGGCAGAUGUAGCCCAGCUGUGGCCCGUAGGUAGGCCCCGCGAUUGAUGGAUGUCAAAUAGACAAACACAGGCUAAGAAAACACCGAACAACGUUCCUAUUCAGAGCUAAGGGCUCCCAGCCUUCCUUGAGUGAAGCACGUUGCAGUGUCUCUGAGGGCCCGUGGCCUGACCUGCAGUCGGGCCCCCCACCCCAGAACCAGAAAGGGUCGGGUCCACCUCGGCGUCUGUGGCAUGAUUGUUCCUUGAGACCCUUGGUGGCUGGUGCUCACCAUGGAAUAGGGGGAGUCACCGGAUCUGAAGCUGCCAGACCUGCACGCCUGACUUCUCACAGCCCUAACCCUAACUGCCACCAAACUGAGGGUCCCUCGGGCCCAGAACACACUCAGUGCCGCCUCUGUCCUGCUCCGUCCCCUCCUUGCCUUCUCCUAGGGGCUGGGGCCAGACCUGAGGAUGCACAUCAGGCCCACAAUUGGAGACAGAGAGACACCUUCGAUUCCAGAGGACCAGCUAUCUCUCUGGCUGUCACCUGGUCUUCUGGAUAUGUAGGGCGGAAGGCGGCCGCGCAGAUUCAGAGGGUGGCUGUGCCGGUGCCUGCACUGAGUCUCCCUGAGCUGAGGAUGGCUGGGGCUUCUGCUCUGCUUGCCCAGGACCCCGCCUGGCUCCGGAAGGAGAACACAGAGGGGGAGUCUGCGGCUCCUGGGAUGCUGCUCAGCUGUCCGCAGGAACCAGUCACCUUCGAGGAUGUGGCUGUGUUGUUCACUCCGGAAGAAUGGAUGUUUCUAGACUCUGCCCAGAGAAGCCUGUACAGAGAUGUGAUGCUGGAGAACUAUAGGAACGUGGCCUCUGUGGGAGAUCAGCUCGGCAAAUUCAGUUCGUUUUCCCAUUUGGAGCAAGGAGAAGAGUGGUGGCCGACGGAGAGAAGAGUCUUCCCGGGAAGCUGUCCAGAACCUUCGCUUCCACCCCAAGGUUCAAUUCCUAACCAAGAUAUUUUUGCAGAGAUUUCCGUUGACAUGGAAAGGGGGCGGCCUCAGACGGGAGAAAACCUCUACGAACGUAGUGCACUCGGAAAACCCUCGCCCGGCGUCCGACCGCUUUUCCAGUACCAGAGCAUUCGUGCUGGAGGCGACCCCUGCGAAUGCCCAGAGAGCAGAGGAUCCUUCUUCCGGCCCGCUCGGCUCCUGGCGCCUGAGGAGAUCCGCCGUGGGGACAGAACCUUCGCGUGUCGCCAGUGCGGGAAGUCCUUCAGAUACAGCUCCGACCUGAUCAGGCACGAGAAGACCCACACCGCCGAGAAGUGCUUUGAGUGUCAGGAGUGUCGGCAGACCUUCAAGUACUCCUCGAAUCUGCGGCGUCACCUGAGGACUCACACCGGAGAGAAGCCCUUCGAAUGUGCCCAGUGUGGGAAGACCUUCACCAGGAACUUCAACCUGAUCUUGCACCAGAGAAACCACACGGGCGAGAAGCCCUACGCGUGCAAGGACUGUGGGAAGGCCUUCAACCAGCCGUCCUCCCUGCGGAGCCACGUGAGGACUCACACCGGCGAGAAGCCCUUCGGGUGCAGUCAGUGUGGGAAAGCCUUCAGGGAGCACUCGUCGCUGAAGACGCACCUGCGAACGCACACCCGGGAGAAGCCGUACGAAUGCAGCCAGUGCGGGAAGCCCUUCCGGACGAGCACGCACCUGAAUGUGCACAGGAGGAUACACACCGGGGAGAAGCUGUACGAGUGCGCUACGUGCGGCCAGGUGCUGAGUCGCCUGUCGACCCUCAAGAGUCACAUGCGAACCCACACCGGAGAGAAGCCCUACGCGUGCCCGGAGUGCGGGCGCGCCUUCGGCGAACCUUCGUCCCUCCGGAAACACGCGAGGACCCACACGGGCAAGAAGCCCUACGCGUGUCAGGAGUGCGGGCGCGCCUUUGGUCAGUCUUCACACCUCAUCGUGCACGUGAGGACCCACACCGCAGGGAGGCCCUACGCGUGCAGUCAGUGUGAGAAGGCCUUCAGGCACAGCUCUUCGCUCGCCGUGCAUAAAAGGGUUCAUGCCGGGAGAGAAAGCGCUCAGAGCGCCGGCCUGCCUCUAUCAGUGUCCCAGCCAUAUGUCGGGCCCCUUGCUGAUUAAUGUUCGACUUUUAUUUUUUUUAAUUUAAUUUUUAAAUUAUCAGAGAGAGAGAGAGAGAAUGCACGUGCGUGGGGGACGAGCAGAGAGAGAGAAUCUUUUUUUUUUUUUUUUUUUAGUAUUUAUUUAUUUUUGAGAGAGAGAGAGAGGGAGGGAUUGCGAGCGGAGGAGGGGCAGAGAGAGAGGGAGACACAGAAUCCGAAGCAGGCUCCGGGCUCCGAGCCGUCAGCACAGAGCCCGACGCGGGGCUCGAACCCACGAGACGUGAGAUCACCACCUGAGCCGAAAUCGGUCGCUUAACCGACUGAGCCACCCAGGCGCUCUGGGAGAGAGAGAAUCUCACGCGGGUGUGGAGCCCGAUGCGGGACUCGAUCCCACAACCCUGGGAUCAUGACCUGAGCCGAAACCAAGAGUCGGACGCUCAACCGACUGAGCCACCCAGGCACCCUCCAAGUUUUCUAAAAGUACAAACGUUCCAGGCUGUCAUCCUCUCUCGUGGCACUCGUUUGGCCACAUUCCAUGUUUUGAUGUGUAAUAUUUUCAUUUUGGUUGAAAUCUAAGUAUUGUCUUAGUUUCUGUUAUCACUUAUUCUUUGGCCCGUGAGUGAUCUGUAAUUAGAUUUUAAAACCAUGGGAUGUGGAUAUAUUUUUCCAGAGGUAUAAUUACUCCUAGCGAAAUGCAUAAACCUUAAUUGUACAGCUGGAGGAGUCUGACAGGUUCGUACGUAUGUUCAUGUCACCAACCCGCCAUUCAAGGUAUACAACAUUUCUAUCAUUCCAGAAAGUUCCUUCAUGUGUAUGGGUGUUUUUUUUUGUUUUUUUAGUUGCCUUUUUGUUGUUGGUUUUUAAUUUAAUUACGUUGUGAGCAGAAAAUGUGGUCUUUAUGUUAUCGAAUAUUGGGUAUCUGUUUUGUUUUUAACGUGGCAUAUCCUGCUAGUUGCCUAUCAAAAUUGCCCCUUGUUCCUUAAAAAACCACUUAGGUUUUUCUUGUUCGGGUUGGUACGAUGCGCUCUUGAAAAACCCCGUACCUCCCAGCCUCCUCCUUGCAGCUAGGGGACGCCACGGCCCCCCCCAGUCCCGGCCAUUCUAAGUAUGAGAAGUCAUUGGGUGUGAUUCCGGGGAAGGAUGUUGCAAAGGAACGUUUAGCCAGAUCCCUCCACUUCUUGCCCUUUGUACAAACAGACAUGAUGCCCAGUGCUCGAGAAGCCAUCCUACGGCCAUGAGGGUAAAGGCUGCAGCUGAAGAGAGUGUAGCCAGACCUCACGACCAUCCUGGCUCCCCAGCUGGUAUCUUUGUGUGGCUGCCCCGGACUGUUUGUUUCUGGAUAUCUUGUUACAUGGAAAAGGUUUUGCUGUCGGGAAUAAAGCUUCUGUGGAUGCUCUUGUGCAAGUCUUACGGUGAACCAGUGUUCUAACUUCUCUUGGGUGCAAGCCUGGAGUGGAAUCGCUGGGUCAUCACGUAGGCAGACCUUGAGCUUUGGCAGAUGCUGCCAAGAGGUUUCCAAAGUGGCCGAAACAGUUUAUGCCUCCGUCAUCAGGAAAGUUUCGUUCGCUUCACGUCCUGAUAAUGCAUGCUCCUGUCAGUUUGAUUUUAGCUACGUCAGUGGAUGUGUAAGUGGUUUCUUGUGUUUUACUUUGCACUGGGUGUGCGCGUGCGUGUGCGUAGAUAACGAUGUAGUAGAUGGUGGCCACGAUAAUUCCUCCUAUGUCUCAGUGUGCAUCUCUUUUCAGGGUGGGUUUUGUUGUUCCCUCACAUCAAGAGGUGGAGUUUAUUUCUCUAGCCCUUGAAGAUGCGCUUGAUCGCACGACUUUCUUUGGCCGAUGGAACGUUAUCAAACAUGGCAGGAGCAGACGCUUGAAAAACACACGCCGGGGUUUGCCCACUUGUCGUUACGGUUCGAGUCGUAAGAGCAAAGUGUGAAGACACCUGGGCCAGCCUCUCCCCUAGGACGCGAGCGUCCUUGCUGACAGCUGGCACCACCCACAGGCAGGCGAGUGAGGCCAUCUUGGACCAUCCAGCCCCAGGCAAGCCAUCAGGUGACCUCAGUUGCACGAGUGACCCUAGGUGAGACCAUCAGAAGAACUAACUGCCCAGCUGAGUUCAGCUCAGAUUGCUGACUCACAGAAUUAGGACAGAAUUAUGAGCACAUAAGGUAACGGACACAGGAGUGAGCGAUGGGGACAGGGCGCUGCUGUAGCAAACAUUUAAAAUGUGGCAUUGACUUUGCAACCUGGCAGUAAGGCAGCAGCUGUAAAGGGGUGAAGAAAUUUCAGCCGGAAACGUGAGGAAACUGCCAGACGUUAGGAAAAGGCUAUGUGGUUAUGUGGUAUGAGAACCACUGGCAAAAGUGUUGUUGUGGUAACUUGGGGAAGAUAGGCCGUGAACUUGUGGGUCUGGUUGAGGAGUGUGGUGGGGGGAGCUUCCCCCCAUCUCUGGCCCUCCCCCCAGCCUUCCUCAUGACCUCCUGAGCCCACGUUGGACGCCUAACCGACUGAGCCACCCAGGCGCCCUAUCGAGGUUUAUAUUUUUAUAACGGUAUUACACGAGCGGCCGUGAAACUGGAGGCAGACCGUACGACCAGGGGAGCUAAGCAGGGUAGGAUUAAGUCACCUCCCAGGAUUAGGAGGAUUAUUUUAUUUUAUUUUAUUUUAUUUUAUUUUAUUUUAUUUUUUAUUUUUAUUUUUUCAAUAUAUGAAGUUUAUUGUCAAAUUGGUUUCCAUACAACACUCAGUGCUUAUCCCAAAAGGUGCCCUCCUCAAUACCCAUCACCCACCCUCCCCUAGGAGGAUAAUUUCAGACUGAAUCCCCUGAAAGUUGAAAACCAUCCUCCGGAUAACUCCCUCCGGGGUUUUAACCGUUCCAGGUCUGGAUGGGGACAGGAGCAAUCCUUGUCAUUUGAUUUGUGAUCUCUUGCAUGAUUUUUUUUUUUCUCAUUAUCUAUUUGUAGGCAGCAGUUCCUAAGGUUAAAUCUUCCACAAACACCUCUCUCAGAAGCAAGCAGGUAAUCUAAGGCCAUGUGAUUUUGAUAAUGGCAUUGUGCAUUUUGGUUUGUUGCUUAGCUAGUAAGUUAAGAGCUCUGGCAGCUUCACUGGUUAUAACUUUUAUAACUGCUUGUAGUCUGAUUAUGCGGUUUAGCAUGUAGAUGGGAGCACGAUGGCCCCAGGACCCGUCCUCUGUCCAGGUGGCAGGGCCAUCAUAUUGGAUUUAUGCUCGGGGGGCCAUUCAUCAUCUUUUUAGUUGCCAAUUAGUAAGGCACACCGCUUUCUUUGAGUCUCCCUGUCCCCAUACACUUGAACUCCCAAAUGUUUCCUUCUGGCAAGUGGGAGCAGGAAGAAAGAUGGACGAAGAGUUCCCACCGUGUAUGACCCUGACCAGACUGAGGGAAGUACUAUAUAGGCUUUCCUUCCACAUAUCCAGGCUAGUCCACCUGGGACCCGCCAUUUGAUGGCUGUAUGGACCUUGUCCCAGGCCUCUCGGAGAUGAGAGAAGUUAGACAAGGGGUGGGGAUCUGGCUCAAGGUGAUCUGGGGUCCCCCACCAUUGGGUUUUCUGGACAGUUGAGUUAUAAAAUCUUUGGCUUAUGCAUGUAAAGUUUUAUUUAUUUAUUUUUUUAAUUUUGUUUUUUAACGUUUAUUCAUUUAAAAAAAAAUUUUUUUUAACAUUUAUUUAUUUUUGAGACAGAGAGCAUGAACAGGGGAGGGUCAGAGAAAGAGGGAGACACAGAAUCCGAAACAGGCUCCAGGCUCUGAGCUGUCAGCACAGAGCCCGACGCGGGGCUCGAACCCACAGACGGCGAGAUCAUGACCUGAGCUGAAGUCAGAUGCUCAACUGACUGAGCCACCCAGGCACCCCUCGCAUGUUAAGUUUUCAACAGAGACAACAAUGAACUUUUUCCCCACCAGACAAGACAGUUUUUCCCAAUAACUGAACUUUUGAGAAGCCAAACUCUGGUCGUAGGACUGGGGUAUUUUGUUUUACUAUAAGGUUUGUGGGGAUCCAAUUUUCUAGUCUCUAUGGCCAUUGUUUCCCCGUGUUGGUACCAGCGAAGUAUCCGAUCCACAAAGGGAGGGUGAGUGUUCAGAGAAACCUCUCACCACGUUUCCAGCUGGCCGGGGUGGCCUCGGCCAAUCCUAUGGCAAAGAGCAGAGCAAGAAUCAUGAUAAUAUCGAGAAACGAGGCGUGACAGUGCAUCACAACAAGGAAACAUACAGAAAAUAACGACGGUCUUUUGUUUCUCCAGACCGCCGAUUCCUCAAGCUUCUGCCGUGUGUAGGUCAGCUUCUGGAGUGACUAAAGCAGGGCUGCAGUCUCCUGGCGCCUCUGGAGUUGCAGAACCUUCCGUAUGGUCAGUCUGCACAGCAUUGAUGGGUCAGGAAUGCACUCCCAGUUUUGAGAUGCCGGCUUCAGUCUGCUGUAGCGAAUCCAGGGACCCACGUUGGCCACCUUUCCAGCGGUAGGGGUGGACAAAAUGACAGUGAACGGGCCCCUCCCGAGGGGUUUUAGCGGUUGGGCAUUUCACUCCUUUAUCCCUAUCGCAUCUCCUGGUUUAAAGGGAUGAGCGUCUGUGGUCAGAUUCAGAUAAUCGCUCCCUGACCCAGGGGUGUAAGGUGGUUAGGGUAGAGCCAAGGGCUCGCAUCUGUUGUCUCAGGGUUAGAUGGUCUAUCUCAUUUAGAUCCCUCCCCCAUGCCCUUGAUAAUGGGGGAGGGGCGCCCAUAAAGGAUUUCAUAAGGGGAGAACCCCAUCCGCUUCUUCAGCCUCCCACCUGCAUCUGCCCUCUGCCUCCCUGAAGGUCCCUUCUCUCUCCCUGCCUAAUGUCAACCCUUUCCCUAUUUAUUUCUCUGCUGGAACAGGGCCUGGAACCGCUGUUAGGGAACAGGGGCAACGACUGUUCUGGCUUCUUCAGGCUGAUAAGGGACGGUGUGGGGGUACAGCAGUUGGAGUCUACCCAAGGGGUCGGUCGAGUGGCCCAUAGUAUGGUUCUGCAGGAAGGCUGGCAGGCAUUAGCAGACACAGAGAAAAACACAAAGGAAAAAUUAUACUGACCAACAAGAUGGCAUCUUAAGAUCAUGUCUAUGGUUUCCAAACCUGUCAAACAACCUUUGUAAACAACACAUGUCAGGGAAUCUCUCAUGACCCAGGUGAUGGAGAAGCAGGAGCGGUAAGUAAUCAACGGUGGCUCUAUUUCCAAGAGUUUGGCCUUAACUGAAUCACGAAAAAUUUUUAAAUCAUCUAUUGCUUGUGAAGUGUUAUCUAGAGUUUUGUUGAGUAUAAGCAGACAGUCUCCUUUAUUUUGAGGUGUAAAACUUUUCCACGAGCCAGGACUGCUACCAGAGAAAGAGUCAAGGCAGCCAUUGACCAUUAUUAAUUUGAAAAAUUUUUAGGUAAGCCGAACCUGGUAUUAUUUGAUAAAGCAGAACUUUCAUUACUUUCUGUGCCUUUUUUGUCUUGCAGGAGAAGGCCUUUACUCAAUUAGUAAAAGUAUCACCCCAUACCAACAGAUGCUAGAAUUCCUUCGACCUUGGUAUAUGAGUGAACCUAAUUGUCAGUCUUUUCUGGACAGCCUCCAGUUUUUGAUUGCCUGGGAGAGCAGGUUUGUGGCUGAAAGGAUUGUUUCUAAGACAUACUUCACAGGCUGAUCCUGCUGGCAGAACUGUCCUUGACAAAUUUUUUUUCCAGUAAACAUCCAUUGGGCCAUUUGAGAAGUUUUGUCCCUCCCCAAAUGAAAGGCCUGAUGCUGUGUUUUAAUGCUCUCUUACCUCUGAGAGCUUGGCAAGAGUCAUUGCCCUGCUCUGUUUGUAACCAUUCCAAGGGCUGGAGACAAUGUCUAGGUGUCAGAGCCCAGUUUAUUAACUUUUUGGGGGAGAGUAGGUCGGCUUGAGUCUCCUUUAAUAAUUGAUAUAGCAGCAAACUAUUUUCCUGAACCCUGGUAUCUACAGCCUACAAUAUCCAGUAAUUUUCCAAAACUCAUACAAUUGUUUACCUGCCCUGGAGUUGGUAGCACCAUAAUCUCUAAUUUAGUUAUAAUGUCCCUUUCUAGGAAGGGAGUAAGGCUCUCUGGCAUUAUCAGGAAAGAACGAGAAAAAAUUAGGUUUCCCCAUAGACAUCCCAGGGGCUGAGGGAAACAUUUAGUUAGAAGUUUUCCAGAGAUGGCCCUAAUCGUCCUGCUGCAUUUGGAUAGUUGGCCUGGAGUGGAAAGGAGGACAGAGAAGGUCGCUCUGGUGUCGAGAAGGAAAUCAACCAGUUUUGCUUCCCUUCUAUAUUUAGGGUUACUCAAGGUUCUGGGUUUCUGAUAGACAGUUGGGUUAGGGGGGGCCACUGUGAAGAGCCCCAGGCCCCGGUUAAUCCCUUCCAGGGACAUUGUUAUCUGAGCCCUCACAGAUAGAGGUCCCCGUAGGGCAUUCAGAUCUCCAGUGAUUGGCUCCACAUAAGGGGCAUGGCUUAUGGGGUUUUCAUUUUGAUUGUCCCCUCUGAGGACAUUCUCAUUUUAGUGCUCUCAGUGGCCAUAUAAAUGGCACUUGGUGCCAGGACCUCGGGAAGCCCGAUCUCACAUAGUACCUAAGGCCACAACUAAGGCCUCAGAUUUUUUUAAGCCUCCUUUUCUGUUUUUUUUUUUUAUUUUUUUAUUCUUCUUUUGAUCUUGGUUGUAAUAUACCCAAUUGGCAGCUCGUAACAGCUCCUCCAGGGUCCCUUCAAGGCCAACAGCCAAUUUUUGUAUUUUCUCUGAAUAUGUAGGGCUGAGUGAGUGACAAAUUUGUCCUUUAAAUCAUCUCAGCCUUAGGGUGUCAGGGGAGAUAGCCAUAUAUUUAAUGAGAGCCUCCCUCAACCUCUCCAGGAAGGCCACUGGGUUCCCAUUUUGUGUUUGUAAAAUAGUGGCUAAUUUAGCAUAAUUUAAAGGCCAAAUCUAGAUUUCCUUAGGUUUUUUUUUUUUUUUUUUUUUUUAUAAAGCAUCUGUCUCACUAAGAGUCUGGUUUAACAAAAGCAUUGUGUCUUUCCAGGUCAAGUCAAAAACAUACGUAAUAUUCUGAAAAGGCUUUAUAUACUUAGUCAAUCAGAAAAUGUACCUAGAUCUCCUUUUAUCUGUCUUAAACCUUGUAAUGUAAAGGUUUUUUUCUUCUGGCAUUCUAGCUUCUUGUAAGGGAAACAUGCCUGUUACAUUAUGGGGAGGGCCUGGAUAAGGUGGGUAGCAGGGAGCAGAAUUGCAUUAUUAUUAUUAUAUGUAGAUUAAAGACCUGUGGA